UGGGGAGUUGUCUAACGGUAGGACCCGGGAUUCUGGAUCCCGUUGUGAUGGUUCGAAUCCAUCCUCCCCAG
Molecule: transfer RNA, 71 nt
Filed under: bacterium
Lineage: Bacteria
Also listed under: 1 other name
Description: tRNA-Gln
Rfam family: tRNA
About the family: Transfer RNA (tRNA) molecules are approximately 80 nucleotides in length.
Source: RNAcentral